This 468-nucleotide ribosomal RNA is filed under the name uncultured bacterium. Its description in RNAcentral is "partial 16S ribosomal RNA". It matches the Rfam family "Bacterial small subunit ribosomal RNA", at positions 28 to 507 of the family's 1533-position model. The record is from RNAcentral.
GACGACCGCUGGCGGGGUGCUUAAACCAUGCAAGUCGAACGGAAAGGCCCUGCUUUUGUUGGGCGCUCGAGUGGCGAACGGGUGAGUAACACGUGAGUAACCUGUCCUUUACUUUGGGAUAACUUCAGGAAACUGGGGUUCAUAACGGAUAGGAGCUCCUGCUGCAUGGUGGGGGUUGGAAUGUUUCGGCGGUUGGGGAUGGACUCGCGGCUUAUCAGCUUGUUGGUGGGGUAGUGGCUUACCAAGGCUUUGACGGGUAGCCGGCCUGAGAGGGUGACCGGCCACAUUGGGACUGAGAUACGGCCCAGACUCCUACGGGAGGCAGCAGUGGGGAAUAUUGCACAAUGGGCGGAAGCCUGAUGCAGCAACGCCGCGUGCGGGAUGACGGCCUUCGGGUUGUAAACCGCUUUCGCCUGUGACGAAGCGUGAGUGACGGUAAUGGGUAAAGAAGCACCGGCUAACUACGUG